RNAcentral lists this ribosomal RNA (406 nucleotides) under uncultured bacterium. RNAcentral's name for it is "partial 16S ribosomal RNA". It matches the Rfam family "Bacterial small subunit ribosomal RNA", at positions 29 to 526 of the family's 1533-position model. The record is from RNAcentral.
AUUGAACGCUGGCGGCAGGCCUAACACAUGCAAGUCGAGCGAGCGGCGGACGUGUGAGUAAUGUCUGGGAAACUGCCUGAUGGAGGGGGCUCACUCCUGGAGACGGUAGCUAAUACCGCAUACCAUCAGAUGUGCCCAGGUGGGAUUAGCUCGUAGGUGGGGUAACGGCUCACCUAGGCGACGAUCCCUAGCUGGUCUGAGAGGAUGACCAGCCACACUGGAACUGAGACACGGUCCAGACUCCGACGGGAGGCAGCAGUGGGGAAUAUUGCACAAGGGGCGCAAGCCGGAUGCAGCCAUGCCGCGGGUGUGAAGAAGGCCGUCGGGUUGUAAAGCACUGUCAGCGGGGAGGCGUUACCCGAAGAAGAAGCACCGGCUAACUCCGUGCCAGCAGCCGCGGUAAUAC